CAGCCGCCGCGGUAAUACGGAGGGUGCAAGCGUUAUCCGGAUUUAUUGGGUUUAAAGGGUCCGUAGGCGGACUUAUAAGUCAGUGGUGAAAGCCUGUCGCUUAACGAUAGAACUGCCAUUGAUACUGUAAGUCUUGAGUAUAUUUGAGGUAGUUGGAAUAAGUAGUGUAGCGGUGAAAUGCAUAGAUAUUACUUAGAACACCAAUUGCGAAGGCAGGUUACCAAGAUAUAACUGACGCUGAGGGACGAAAGCGUGGGUAGCGAACAGGAUUAGAUACCCCAGUAGUCCCUGUCUCUUAUAC
This 301-nucleotide ribosomal RNA is filed under the name uncultured bacterium. Its description in RNAcentral is "partial 16S ribosomal RNA". It matches the Rfam family "Bacterial small subunit ribosomal RNA", at positions 509 to 807 of the family's 1533-position model. The record is from RNAcentral.